UACGUAGGAGACGAGCGUUGUCCGGAAUUACUGGGCGUAAAGCGCGUGUAGGCGGAUGAGCAAGUCUGCUGUGAAAGCUCCUGGCUUAACCGGGAGUGGUCGGUGGAAACUGCUCGUCUGGAGGACGGUAGAGGUAGGUAGAAUUCCCGGUGUAGUGGUGAAAUGCGUAGAUAUCGGGAGGAACACCAGUGGCGAAGGCGGCUUCCUGGCCUGUUCUUGACGCUGAGGCGCGAAAGCUAGGGGAGCAAACGGG
RNAcentral lists this ribosomal RNA (253 nucleotides) under uncultured bacterium. Its description in RNAcentral is "partial 16S ribosomal RNA". It matches the Rfam family "Bacterial small subunit ribosomal RNA", at positions 524 to 776 of the family's 1533-position model. The record is from RNAcentral.